UACGUAGGGUGCAAGCGUUGUCCGGAUUUAUUGGGUUUAAAGGGUGCGUAGGCGGCCCGGUAAGUCAGUGGUGAAAGCCUCCAGCUCAACUGGAGAACUGCCAUUGAUACUGACGGGCUUGAGUACAGACGAGGUUGGCGGAAUUGAUUGUGUAGCGGUGAAAUGCAUAGAUACAAUCAAGAACUCCGAUUGCGUAGGCAGCUAACUAGGCUGUAACUGACGCUGAGGCACGAAAGCGUGGGGAGCGAACAGG
Molecule: ribosomal RNA, 253 nt
Filed under: uncultured Flexibacteraceae bacterium
Lineage: Bacteria; Pseudomonadati; Bacteroidota; Cytophagia; Cytophagales; Cytophagaceae
Description: partial 16S ribosomal RNA
Rfam family: Bacterial small subunit ribosomal RNA
Source: RNAcentral